Molecule: ribosomal RNA, 492 nt
Filed under: uncultured bacterium
Lineage: Bacteria
Description: partial 16S ribosomal RNA
Rfam family: Bacterial small subunit ribosomal RNA
Source: RNAcentral
AGUGAACGCUGGCGGUAGGCCUAACACAUGCAAGUCGAACGGCAGCACAGUAAGAGCUUGCUCUUACGGGUGGCGAGUGGCGGACGGGAGAGGAAUAUAUCGGAAUCUACUUUUUCGUGGGGGUUAACGUAGGGAAACUUACGCUAAUACCGCAUACGACGUACGGGUGAAAGGAGGGGAUCGUCUGAGCUGGCGCGAUUGAAUGAGCCGAUGAGGGAUUAGCUAGUGGGGGGGGUAAAGGCCCACCAAGUCGACGAUCCGCAGCUGGAGUGAGAGGAUGGUCGGCCGCCUUGGAGCUGGGCCAGGGUCCAGACUCCUACGGGAGGGCGCAGUGGGGAACAUUAGACAAUGGGCGCAAACCUGAUCCAGCCAUCGCGAGUGGGAGAAGACGGCCUUGGGGUUGUAAAGCCCUCUUGUUGGGAAAGAACAGCAGCAGGUUAAUACCCCGCUGUACUGACGGUAACCAAAGAAUAAGCACCGGCUAACUUCGUG